AUGACGACCACAUUUUGCAGGUCACGGGUCUGCCUCCUCCCCCUCGUCGCUGUUCUCGCCGUCGCCGCCUCUCUUGAGCCACUCACACCACUGAGCAAGGUCAUGGCCAUAGACGUCAGUGCAGUGGCAAAGGGCGCUUCGGUGUUGGACGAAGCCGCUCAUUCUUCGGUGGACAAGAAAUUGAAGCAUGUCAAAGAAGGGAUCGAGCACGGGAUGGAAGUUUUCCGUUUCUGGGAUGAUCACAAGGACGAUAUCAAAAAGCAGCUGCAGCUUCUUACGCCUGGAGCCCAAGGGAGUUCUCCGUCGGGUUACGUCGUCGACACCGGGAAUCUCAAGUCCUUGGUUUAUGGCAUCGACAUCAACAGCCCGGUCACACGGACCGGCCCGUGCGAGCUCGGCGCACGCGCGGUAUCGUGCAGCGCCCCGGCAUGCCGGCAACUAUACGGCGGGCAGCCGUGGCCGAACUGUGCCCACGGCCCGGGAGAACUUCCCUGUCCUUACCCUUACGCCGAUCAUCACUCCCUGUACCAGGGCAAAGCCACCUUGUUCACAAGGCCCACCGCCAUGCCAGUACCCCUCUCACUCCCACUAUAUGCGUGCAGUCCCUCUGCCGCCGGCGCCGUCCUCGGCCUCGGCAGAUUAGGCACCCUGGCACGCACAGUCGGGGCUUUCUCCUACGAGCUCUCCGACGGACAGGGCGACGCCAUCUGGCUGGGCGCCCAGAGGGCGCGGCGAGUCCAAGGCGGCAAACCCACUCCGCUCAUCUCCAACCCCCUGUUCCCCAACCGCUACUACGUGCAGAUCGCCAGCAUACUGGUCGGCAACCAGCCGCUCCAGAUCCCGCGGGGAGCGCUCGACAUCCAGCAAUACGGCCGCGGCGGGGUUUACCUGAGCACAACCAUGCCGGUCGGCAUGUACCUCAACGGAGAGGUGUACGACCUCCUCAAGGCGGCGCUGCAGGCGCCUGGUGCCACUGCCAACGGCCUGUGCUACUCGGCGGACGCGAAGGUACCGCUUCCCACCAUCACUCUCGAGUUCGCCGGCGAUGCCGUCAUGGCGCUGCGGCCAGGGAGCUCCGUCUGGAAGACGCGGGCGGAUGGGGCGCGGUGCCUGUCUGUCUUGCCGUCAAGCACCGGCGAGACCAUCCUGGGUACCAGGGCCCAGAUGGGGAGGCUUAUGACCUACGAGCUCGCGACUGGCAACGCCUUCGGUUUCGGUACAGUCACAUUUUAA
RNAcentral lists this ribosomal RNA (1233 nucleotides) under Triticum aestivum (bread wheat). RNAcentral describes it as "partial small subunit ribosomal RNA". Lineage: Eukaryota; Viridiplantae; Streptophyta; Magnoliopsida; Poales; Poaceae. The record is from RNAcentral.